RNAcentral lists this ribosomal RNA (460 nucleotides) under uncultured bacterium. Its description in RNAcentral is "partial 16S ribosomal RNA". It matches the Rfam family "Bacterial small subunit ribosomal RNA", at positions 338 to 795 of the family's 1533-position model. The record is from RNAcentral.
CCUACGGGAGGCAGCAGUGAGGAAUAUUGGUCAAUGGACGAGAGUCUGAACCAGCCAAGUAGCGUGAAUGAUGACUGCCCUAUGGGUUGUAAACUUCUUUUAUAUGGGAAUAAACUGUUCCACGUGUGGACUUUUGUAUGUACCAUAUGAAUAAGGAUCGGCUAACUCCGCGCCAGCAGCCGCGGUAAUACGGAGGAUCCGAGCGUUAUGCGGAUUUAUUUGGUUUAAAGGGAGCGUAGGUGGAUUGUUAAGUGAGUUGUGAAAGUUUGCGGCUCAACCGUAAAAUUGCAGUUGAAACUGGCAGUCUAGAGUACAGUGGAGGUGGGCGGAAUUCGUGGUGUAGCGGUGAAAUGCUUAGAGAUCACGAAGAAUUCCGAUGGCGAAGGCAGCUCCCUGGACUGCAACUGACACUGAGGCUCGAAAGUGUGGGUAUCAAACAGGAUUAGAUACCCCAGUAGUC